Zea mays is the source of this 2791-nucleotide long non-coding RNA. RefSeq lists it as uncharacterized. The transcript has a single exon. The record is from RefSeq and is marked validated. Lineage: Eukaryota; Viridiplantae; Streptophyta; Magnoliopsida; Poales; Poaceae.
CUUCCUUCCUGCGCCCAGCCAUCUUCUCUUUGCCCAGCCGCUCCUUCCUCUCGAUCUCCCAUGGCUGAUGCGUGCCCUGCACCAUCUCCAGCUCCUUCAUGGAAUGAUCCCCUCCCUGCUCGAUCCCACAUGCCCCUAGCGCGCGAGCUCCACCUUCCAUGGCCAGCCGCCGUCGACCCUGCCAUGGACGCUGAAGUCCCUCUGCCCGUUGCCAUAGCCGCUGUGCCGAGCUUCAUCUUUGGCCGUGCUCGCGCGCUGCUCGUCCAUGGCGGCUUCCCCCUGCUGGCAGCCGUCCGGCCGAGCUCCAUCCCUGCCCAUCUCCCUGCAUCGCGCGCCCUCUCCCUGCUCAAGCUCGCCCUUGGCGCUCGCCCGUGAUGCCUGCGCUCGGCUCUGCCCAUCUUCCUCUGCCGCGCGCCGUACGCCCAGCCGAGCGUCUCCACCGCACGCUCCUCCUUCCUCCGAACCGAGCUCCUCUCCCAUGGCCGACCGUCGUGUGCCCCUGCAGCACGGAUCCCUUCCUCCCUGCCCUCUGCACGCGUGCUGCUCCAGCUCGCCUGGGCGCGGUCUCACCUUGCUGCCACAACCGCGCCUACUGCCGCGCCCGGCCUGCUCCCUUGUGCGCGCUCUGUUUCCUCGCCGAGCUCGUCCCUGCGCGCCGAGCUCGCGUGCAGCUCGCCCAGCUCGGAGUUUCCCUGUCCAUCUCACCACGCUCGGUCUCUAGCUCCCUGUGCGUCUCUGUUCAUGGUCGUGGUGAUGCUAUGGCGUGGCGACGUCGUAUACGUUGCGACAGCCGUCCUGGCCGCGGGGCAGUCCGCGCCAUAGAGUUCGCCCGACCGUGAUCUCGCUUUACUCCUCACGUCGUUGCUCGCCGAGUCCUUCCCCAGUUCGCGCCACAAAAUUCGCUCGGUCACGGUCUCGUCAAACUGUGAAGCUUCCUUGCCGUGCGCUCUGGCAUCGGCUGCCGCCGAUUCCGCCAUAAAGUUCACGAGCGCUCCUUGCUCACUUUAUUUCGCAGUGAACAAUUUUUCCACGUUUCAAUUCUGUGUUGCUUGCCCCGUGUGUGCUCGCUCCUCAUCCAUCGGGUUUCGGCAUGUUCGCGUUUACCGUCGAGUCGUCGAACCCGUCAUCCCCUGCUCGACCCCCACCUCACCAGCUCGCUCUAGACUUCAAUCGAAGGUCGUCGUCAUUCCGUACGUUGUCAAGAAAUCCCAAGCGUCAGGUGAAGACGAAGCUAGCUGCGUGAUAUUUACCAAGUGCUCGAGAGAAGGCCUGAGCAAGAAUCAGCAACGUUUCCUUGGAAUUUUAAUUGAAUCGGUAACUGUUCUCUAGUUCGCUAUUUCUUUAAUUGAUUGAGUCGAUGAAUGGAAUAAAUUAAUGUGCUAGUGUGCUGCUCACUAGGUGCUCGAUUAAUUGCGUGAGUCCCUGAACUCUCGUCGACUUCGCGGUUCUCGCGAUUAUCGAGCCAGAUUCAGUUAUGGCGAGUUAUUUCGCUAUUUCAGUCAGUUAGCUGAAUUGGUGGAGUGAGUAGAAUAUUAGUAGGCAUGUGUGAUCAUGAAAUAUUUUAAUCACUUAUAAAGAGGUGUAUAUAUUUACGAUAAAAAAUGUUUGAUAUAGGAACAAAAAUUUGAUCGCUACUUUCAGUAAAAAGAAUAUUGGUAGGUAUAUAUAUAGUAUGAUUGUGUUCGUGAUGGUGAAGUAGUUGUGUCGCGUGAAGCUUAGGAUUGAAAUAUAAAUCAUACAAGGGAAUGUUGUGGUGGACGCGCAUGUCGAUUAGGCUUAAAUUGGUUCUUUGUUGUGGUGUGAGGAGAAUUAGUAGCGAGAAGAAUUAAAUCGGUGCUUCGUAUCUAAGGAGUGGUCGAAGUAACGUUGUGGAAAGUAGGUCUUGUGUUUGUGUUUCUAGUGUCUUGUCGAAGGAUAGUAUGUGGCGGGUUUCGUCUAAUUGUAUGGAGUCGAUGCCCUGCUGUGAUAUUCAUGAUGCUUAAUGCUUGUUAAUUGAUUUUAAUGCUUGGUUUUAAGUGUUUCAUCCUUUUUAGUGUAGAUUAUCUAUCUUAUACUCUUUAUACUCAUGCUCAUACAUGUGCAUCGUGCAUCCCAUGAGGUACGUUAAUUGAUCGUGUGAUGCGGAAGACGAGCCAAGUCGACCCCAAGCGUGGACUAAUCCGCAGGAUAAUGCUGAUGGAUGAACCUGCCUGAUCAAGUGCUAGGACAAGGAUGAUCGUCAAGUGGUCGUCGUCUAACAACACUAACCUAGUGUUAUUCAGGCAAGCCUCGGUGCAUUUGCCACCUCCUUGAUGUUUUAAAAUUUUUAUCACCUUGUUUGAUGCAUUAGGUGAUAGGAGUUGUGUGCUAAACCGUUGAUGCAUUUCCUUCCUUGAAAAAUUAAUUACAUGUAAUACCUACUUUGUAAGAAAAUCUAAAAGGAGAAAUGAAAUUCAUGUAUAUAUAUGUGUGUUAUCUCUACUUGUCAUUUCAUGUGGACACCUCACUUAUACAAAUGAAUAAGUAAUAAAAGGCACUCAAACAAAUCAUGCAUCAUGCUGGACUUUAUUUUGUGUGCAUUUUUGAGACAAUAUAAAAAUAAUGUAAAAAAAUAUUAAAGUCCGAAGUGGAAUUUAAAAUCUAAAAGAGAAUUCUAGAAUUUCGAAAAGAGAGCACUAGAUAUCAUGAAAUAAGUAUUAAAAUAGAUAAAUUUAUCCAUACCAUGUCUAGGAUGAAUGAUUAAUGAGAAAACAAAUCUACCAGAAAGUUUGAAUUUGAAUGACAUUUAAACUUUAUGAAUUUGAAAAAUCUA